UAUCUCAAUUGACAGUAUAUUAUUCAGUAGAGACUAUAAUCCAAACUCUGAAGUUGAAGACAAAAUUUUAAGAAAGUAGCUUUUUAAAAACAAAAUUCUAAAAUUGAACAGACACAAUGCUUAAGACGACAACACAAGAGAACAGAACACAAUGCCACCAUAUAUCACCAAAGAUGUAAAAAUCAAAACUUGCAUCUUUCUAAUGAAAGGGUAAAUCGAAAUUGGAGCACAGAUAAACCAAAAUCGAUGGAGAGAACGAAUGAAGCAUGGAGGGAUAGAGUGAGGAAAAAAGGAUACUGAAGAGGUAUCGUUCCCACCAAUCAAGCAUGUAGAGCCCGAAUGUGACAUUAUAAAGGUAGAUUUUGCGUUGAACCCAGUUCAUAU
Arabidopsis thaliana (thale cress) is the source of this 384-nucleotide long non-coding RNA. RefSeq annotates it as other RNA. The transcript has a single exon. NCBI's taxonomy places the organism in Eukaryota, Viridiplantae, Streptophyta, Magnoliopsida, Brassicales, Brassicaceae. The record is from RefSeq.